RNAcentral lists this ribosomal RNA (484 nucleotides) under uncultured bacterium. RNAcentral describes it as "partial 16S ribosomal RNA". It matches the Rfam family "Bacterial small subunit ribosomal RNA", at positions 30 to 507 of the family's 1533-position model. The record is from RNAcentral.
AUUGAACGCUAGCGGGAUGCCUUACACAUGCAAGUCGAACGGCAGCACGGACUUCGGUCUGGUGGCGAGUGGCGAACGGGUGAGUAAUGUAUCGGAACGUGCCCAGUAGCGGGGGAUAACUACGCGAAAGCGUAGCUAAUACCGCAUACGCCCUACGGGGGAAAGCAGGGGAUCGCAAGACCUUGCACUCUUGGAGCGGCCGAUAUCGGAUUAGCUAGUUGGUGGGGUAACGGCUCACCAAGGCGACGAUCCGUAGCUGGUUUGAGAGGACGACCAGCCACACUGGGACUGAGACACGGCCCAGACUCCUACGGGAGGCAGCAGUGGGGAAUUUUGGACAAUGGGGGAAACCCUGAUCCAGCCAUCCCGCGUGUGCGAUGAAGGCCUUCGGGUUGUAAAACACUUUUGGCAGGAAAGAAACGUCGCGGGUUAAUACCUCGCGAAACUGACGGUACCUGCAGAAUAAGCACCGGCUAACUACGUG